GAUGAACGCUGGCGGCGUGCCUAAUACAUGCAAGUAGAACGCUGAAGGAGGAGCUUGCUCUUCUGGAUGAGUUGCGAACGGGUGAGUAACGCGUAGGUAACCUGCCUGGUAGCGGGGGAUAACUAUUGGAAACGAUAGCUAAUACCGCAUGACAACAGUUAUUGCAUGAUAACUGUUUAAAAGGGGCAACUGCUCCACUACCAGAUGGACCUGCGUUGUAUUAGCUAGUUGGUGAGGUAACGGCUCACCAAGGCGACGAUACAUAGCCGACCUGAGAGGGUGAUCGGCCACACUGGGACGGAGACACGGCCCAGACUCCUACGGGAGGCAGCAGGAGGGAAUCUUCGGCAAUGGACGGAAGUCUGACCGAGCAACGCCGCGUGAGUGAAGAAGGUUUUCGGAUCGUAAAGCUCUGUUGUAAGAGAAGAACGAGUGUGAGAGUGGAAAGUUCACACUGUGACGGUAUCUUACCAGAAAGGUACGGCUAACUACGUG
This 495-nucleotide ribosomal RNA is filed under the name uncultured bacterium. Its description in RNAcentral is "partial 16S ribosomal RNA". It matches the Rfam family "Bacterial small subunit ribosomal RNA", at positions 28 to 507 of the family's 1533-position model. The record is from RNAcentral.